UGGGGAAUCAUGGUCAAUGGGCGAAAGCCUGAACCUGCGACGCCGCGUGAGUGAUGAAGGUCGUAAGAUCGUAAAACUCUUUUCAGGGAUCUUAAAGCCUGUCUGUCAACAACAGGCAGGUCUGACUCUCCCUGGAAGAAGCCCCAGCCAACUACGUGCCAGCAGCUGCGGUAAUACGUAGGGGGCGAGCGUUAUUCGGAAUUACUGGGUGUAAAGGGUAUGUAGGCGGCCCUUCAAGUCGGGGGUCAAAGUGCGGGGCUCAACGCUGGGUGUGCAGGCGAAACUGACGGGCUUGAGGGCGGGAGAGGUGAGCGGAAUUCCCGGUGUAGUGGUAAAAUACGUAGAGAUCGGGAGGAACACCAGCGGCGCAGGCGGCUCACUAGACAGUUUCUGACGCUAAGAUACGAAAGCGUGGGGAGCAAACA
RNAcentral lists this ribosomal RNA (425 nucleotides) under uncultured prokaryote. RNAcentral describes it as "bacterial SSU rRNA". It matches the Rfam family "Bacterial small subunit ribosomal RNA", at positions 355 to 774 of the family's 1533-position model. The record is from RNAcentral.